Molecule: ribosomal RNA, 253 nt
Filed under: uncultured bacterium
Lineage: Bacteria
Description: partial 16S ribosomal RNA
Rfam family: Bacterial small subunit ribosomal RNA
Source: RNAcentral
UACGUAGGGUGCAAGCGUUGUCCGGAAUUAUUGGGCGUAAAGAGCUCGUAGGCGGUCUGUCGCGUCUGGUGUGAAAAUCCAGGGCUUAACCCUGGACCUGCAUCGGGUACGGGCAGACUAGAGUGCGGUAGGGGAGAUCGGAAUUCCUGGUGUAGCGGUGAAAUGCGCAGAUAUCAGGAGGAACACCGGUGGCGAAGGCGGCAUCCUGGACCGGCAUUGACGCUGAGGCGCGAAAGCCAGGGGAGCAAACAGG